UACGAGGGGGGCAAGCGUUGUUCGGAUUUACUGGGCGUAAAGGGCGCGUAGGCGGCGCAACAAGUCACUUGUGAAAUCUCCGGGCUUAACCCGGAGCGGCCAAGUGAUACUGUCGUGCUAGAGUGCGGAAGGGGCUACUGGAAUUCUCGGUGUAGCGGUGAAAUGCGUAGAUAUCGAGAGGAACACCUGCGGCGAAGGCGACUUCCUGGCCUGUUCUUGACGCUGAGGCGCGAAAGCUAGGGUAGCAAACGGG
This 253-nucleotide ribosomal RNA is filed under the name uncultured bacterium. Its description in RNAcentral is "partial 16S ribosomal RNA". It matches the Rfam family "Bacterial small subunit ribosomal RNA", at positions 524 to 776 of the family's 1533-position model. The record is from RNAcentral.